This 217-nucleotide long non-coding RNA is filed under the name Homo sapiens (human). RNAcentral describes it as "non-protein coding lnc-EFTUD2-1:1". The record is from RNAcentral. Lineage: Eukaryota; Metazoa; Chordata; Mammalia; Primates; Hominidae.
CCUGCUCAAUGUCAAGCUGGCCCUGGACAUCGAGAUCGCCACCUACAGGAAGCUGCUAGAGGGCGAGGAGAACCGAUCACCAUUCCCGUGCAGACCUUCUCCAACCUGCAGAUUCGAAAACCAGCCUGGACACCAAGUCUGUGUCAGAAGGCCACCUCAAGAGGAACAUCGUGGUGAAGACCGUGGAGAUGCGGGAUGGAGAGGUAAGGAGGGAUUU